This 411-nucleotide unclassified non-coding RNA is filed under the name uncultured fungus. RNAcentral's name for it is "sequence contains 18S rRNA gene, ITS1, 5.8S rRNA gene, ITS2, 28S rRNA gene". The stretch from base 149 to 222 matches the Rfam family "tRNA". Lineage: Eukaryota; Fungi. The record is from RNAcentral.
GGCUGGAUCACCUCCUUUCUAAGGAGUAGUUUGUCCCUGAGGGGACAAGCAGGUCGAGCACUUGAAAUCGCUCGUGUUACUGGUGACGCACAGUUCAGCUUUUGGAAUUUUCUAAUUUAGACCGCCGGGCGACGGCGCCCGGGAAACCGGGCCUGUAGCUCAGUUGGUUAGAGCAUGCGCUUGAUAAGCGCAGGGUCACUAGUUCGAAUCUAGUCAGGCCCAUGAAGCAAUCGUUCUUUGAUAUCUACAUACAUCAAACUUUGCGCUCGCCGGCCUUCGGGCUGGUUGAGCGAGCUGAAUAGUAUAGAGAAUAGCUAAGAAGAGCACAUGAUGAAUACCUUGGCACUAACAGGCGAUGAAGGACGCAAAAAGUUGCGAUAAGCUUCGGGGAGUGACAAUUACGCUUUGAUC